AUGAACGCUAGCGGCAGGCCUAAUACAUGCAAGUCGUACGGCAACACAGUUGCGAGCAAUCGCAACCGGUGGCGAGUGGCGCACGGGUGAGUAACGCGUAUGUAACCUACCCUUCUCCGGGACAUAACUCCGCGAAAGCGGUGCUAAUAUCCCAUACCAACUCAUCAAGACAUCUUCUUGAGUUGAAAGCAGCAAUGCGGUGAAGGAUGGGCAUGCGUCCCAUUAGCUGGUUGGUGAGGUAAUGGCCCACCAAGGCUACGAUGGGUAGGGGUUCUGAGAGGAAAGCCCCCCACACUGGUACUGAGACACGGACCAGACUCCUACGGGAGGCAGCAGUAAGGAAUAUUGGGCAAUGGUCGAAAGACUGACCCAGCCAUGCCGCGUGCAGGAUGAAGGCCCUAUGGGUUGUAAACUGCUUUUAGCCGGGAAUAAACACCCGUUCUAUAACGGGCCCGAAGGUACCGGCUGAAUAAGCAUCGGCUAACUCCGUG
This 491-nucleotide ribosomal RNA is filed under the name uncultured bacterium. Its description in RNAcentral is "bacterial SSU rRNA". It matches the Rfam family "Bacterial small subunit ribosomal RNA", at positions 29 to 507 of the family's 1533-position model. The record is from RNAcentral.